This 494-nucleotide ribosomal RNA is filed under the name uncultured bacterium. RNAcentral describes it as "partial 16S ribosomal RNA". It matches the Rfam family "Bacterial small subunit ribosomal RNA", at positions 28 to 507 of the family's 1533-position model. The record is from RNAcentral.
GACGAACGCUGGCGGCGUGCCUAAUACAUGCAAGUAGAACGCUGAAGGAGGAGCUUGCUUCUCUGGAUGAGUUGCGAACGGGUGAGUAACGCGUAGGUAACCUGCCUGGUAGCGGGGGAUAACUAUUGGAAACGAUAGCUAAUACCGCAUAAUAGCAGUUAUUGCAUGAUAACUGUUUGAAAGGUGCAAUUGCACCACUACCAGAUGGACCUGCGUUGUAUUAGCUAGUUGGUGGGGUAACGGCUCACCAAGGCGACGAUACAUAGCCGACCUGAGAGGGUGAUCGGCCACACUGGGACUGAGACACGGCCCAGACUCCUACGGGAGGCAGCAGUAGGGAAUCUUCGGCAAUGGACGGAGUCUGACCGAGCAACGCCGCGUGAGUGAAGAAGGUUUUCGGAUCGUAAAGCUCUGUUGUAAGAGAAGAACGAGUGUGAGAGUGGAAAGUUCACACUGUGACGGUAUCUUACCAGAAAGGGACGGCUAACUACGUG